This 812-nucleotide long non-coding RNA is filed under the name Cyanistes caeruleus (blue tit). RNAcentral's name for it is "lncRNA (ENSCCEG00000004545.1)". Lineage: Eukaryota; Metazoa; Chordata; Aves; Passeriformes; Paridae. The record is from RNAcentral.
GAGAUAUUCCCGGUAUUCCCGGGAUCCCCGGGAUAUUCCCGGUAUCCCCGUUAUUCCCGGGAUAUUCCCGGUAUCCCCGGGAUAUUCCCGGUAUCCCCGUUAUUCCCGGGAUAUUCCCGGUAUCCCCGUUAUUCCCGGGAUAUUCCCGGUAUCCCCGGGAUAUUCCCGGUAUCCCCGUUAUCACCGAGAUAUUCCCGGUAUUCCCGUUAUCCCCGGGAUAUUCCCGUUAUUCCCGGGAUAUUCCCGGUAUCCCCGUUAUCCCUGGGAUAUUCCCGUUAUCCCCGUUAUCCCCGGGAUAUUCCCGGUAUCCCCGUUAUCCCCGGGAUAUUCCCGGUAUCCCCGUUAUUCCCGGGAUCCCCCUCUCCCGGUGCAGAUGUUCCCGGUUCGGGUCCCGGCAGCCGCAGCGGGAGCCGCGAGCGGGGCGGGGAUGGCGGCACCGGGGACACCCCCACGGAACCGGCCCGGAGACGGCACGACCCCGGCAGGGAAAUCCCGGCCUGGAUCUCACGGGGAAUGCGGGCUGCAGGGAAAUCCCGGCCUGGAUCUCACGGGGAAUGCGGGCUGCNNNNNNNNNNNNNNNNNNNNGAGCGGGGCGGGGAUGGCGGCACCGGGGACACCCCCACGGAACCGGCCCGGAGACGGCACGACCCCGGCAGGGAAAUCCCGGCCUGGAUCUCACGGGGAAUGCGGGCUGCAGGGAAAUCCCGGCCUGGAUCUCACGGGGAAUGCGGGCUGCAGGGAAAUCCCGGCCUGGAUCUCACGGGGAAUGCGGGCUGCAGGGAAAUCCCGGCCUGGAUCCGGGGGGCUCCAGG